GACGAACGCUGGCGGCGUGCUUAACACAUGCAAGUCGAACGGAAAGGCCCUGCUUUUGUGGGGUGCUCGAUUGGCGAACGGGUGAGUAACACGUGAGUAACCUGCCCUUGACUUUGGGAUAACUUCAGGAAACUGGGGCUAAUACCGGAUAGGAUCUCUUGCUGCACGGUGGGGGUUGGAAAGUUUCGGCGGUUGGGGAUGGACUCGCGGCUUAUCAGCUUGUUGGUGAGGUAGUGGCUUACCAAGGCUUUGACGGGUAGCCGGCCUGGGAGGGUGACCGGCCACAUUGGGACUAAGAUACGGACCAGACUCCUACGGGAGGCAGCAGUGGGGAGUAUUACGCAAUGGGCGGAAGCCUGAUGCAGCAACGCCGCGUGCGGGAUGACGGCCUUCGAGUUGUAAACCGCUUUCGCAUGUGACGAAGCGUGAGUGACGGUAAUGGGUAAAGAAGCACCGGCUAACUACGUG
RNAcentral lists this ribosomal RNA (468 nucleotides) under uncultured bacterium. RNAcentral's name for it is "partial 16S ribosomal RNA". It matches the Rfam family "Bacterial small subunit ribosomal RNA", at positions 28 to 507 of the family's 1533-position model. The record is from RNAcentral.